GCUCAGUCGGGGCAGGGCGCGUGUGUAAGUCGUACGGGGCGAGGUUUGUCCUGCUGCAUUGGGCGUAAGGAGCGGGUAGGCGGCCUGGAAGGGCAGCUGUGAAAACUCGAGCCUCAACCUCGAGACGUCGGUUGAAACCACCUGGCUAGAGUCCGGAAGAGGAGUGUGGAAUUCCCGGUGUAGCGGUGAAAUGCGCAGAUAUCGGGAAGAACACCCGUGGCGAAGGCGGCACUCUGGGACGGUACUGACGCUGAGACGCGAAAGCGUGGGGAGCGAACAGGAUUAGAUACCCCAGUAGUC
RNAcentral lists this ribosomal RNA (300 nucleotides) under uncultured Pyrobaculum sp. RNAcentral describes it as "bacterial SSU rRNA". It matches the Rfam family "Bacterial small subunit ribosomal RNA", at positions 496 to 795 of the family's 1533-position model. Lineage: Archaea; Thermoproteati; Thermoproteota; Thermoprotei; Thermoproteales; Thermoproteaceae. The record is from RNAcentral.